This 5030-nucleotide long non-coding RNA is filed under the name Fragaria vesca (wild strawberry). RNAcentral describes it as "long non-coding RNA (FVES_LNC002012)". The record is from RNAcentral. Lineage: Eukaryota; Viridiplantae; Streptophyta; Magnoliopsida; Rosales; Rosaceae.
AGGGUAUCAUGUCACUAACUCAGCCUCCUCCAGCUCUUCCCCAAUACUUGCAAGAAAAUGAGAUCAGCCAAGAAACCAGAGACAUGAUAUCUACUCUACCUAGAGAUCAAGGUUGGAUUGCAAGUCAUAUCUAUCAGUACCAAGGCUUUUGGCACUCAACUAGGCAGAUAGAAGGAGUCUUGGCGUGCCAAGAAAACUUCCGAGCUCAAGAUUCUGAUAUCCUACUUGUUACUACUCCCAAAUCAGGUACCACUUGGCUCAAGGCAAUCUUGUUUUCCCUUGUGAAACGAGGAGAGUAUUAUCAUCCAGAACCUCAAGACCACCCCUUGCUCACAAAAAACCCCCAUGUUCUUGUUCCCCAUUUGGAGAUUGGUUUGUACCUUCAGAAACCGGUACCUGACCUCAUGACCUCCUAUGCCCCUCCUCGGCUCUUUUCAAGUCACUUACCACUUGUGUCUCUACCGGAAUCAGUCAAAGAGACUGCUUGCAAGGUUGUCUAUCUGUGUAGGAACCCUAAGGACACAUUUGUUUCACUCUGGCACUUCGCAAACAAAUUGAGACCCGAGAGUUGGGGAAGCAUUUCACUUGAAGAAGCUUUGGAAUUGUUCUGCAGGGGAGUGAGUAUGUGUGGACCCUUUUGGGAUCAUGUUUUGGGGUACUGGAAUGAGAGCUUGAAAAGGCCUCAAAGUGUAUUUUUCAUCAAAUAUGAGGAAAUGAAAGAAGAAGAAGAAGCCGGUUCUCACUUGAGGAAGCUAGCUGAGUUCUUGGGGUGCCCAUUUUCUCCAGAAGAAGAGGCACAAGGGGUGGUGGGCAACAUCCUGAAGCAGUGUAGUUUUGAGACUUUGAGCAAUUUGGAUGUGAACAAAAGAGGGAAGUUAUCAUCCGGCGAGGAGCAUAGUGCUUUCUUUCGGCGAGGGGAGGCUGGAGAUUGGAGGAAUCAUUUGACUGCUGAGAUGGCGGAACAGAUAGACCGUAUCACUGAAGAGAAGUGGCAAGGUUCUGGAUUGAAAUUCUAAGUGUGCAUGUGUGCAUGUGUUUGAUUACUUCUUUGUUGUUUGUGUUUGUGUGUGGACUUUGACCUUGGUUAAUUGGUCCUAAUGUCAGUAUCUUCAAUCUCAUUAGAUAAAAUGUAUGACCUUGGUUAAUUGGUCCUAAUGUCAGUAUCUUCAAUCUCAUUAGAUAAAAUGUAUGAAUUUGACCUUGGUUAGUUCCAACGUCAAUAUUUGAAUCUUGUGAAAUAAAAGUAUUGCCGAUUUGCUGUCCAAUAUUACUGUAUCAAAGACACGAAUGAAAUUUAUAAACAGAUGAAUGCCAAUAGCUACACACAUCUGGCUUCAGCAUGCUACUGUUAGACUGUACUACAUUUCGGAUUUAUCUUCGACAUAUUAGCUAGCUUCUCUUCCUGAUCGAUCAGAUCGUAUAGUGAAAAAACUAGAAUGUUUCUAGCAGCGAAAUAGUCUGAUAGGGCGUGAAAGUUUGCAGAAGAUUUGGGAAGGGAAGACAGAUGAUGCACCUCUAUGAAUUCCAGAGAGUUUCAGUGAUGGCUCUCAAACCCCACCGCCUCCAUAAACGGGGAUGUAUUCACCUCUGCAUUCAUUUUAGACUUCGGAUUUUCUCUUUAUCAUGACUAGAGUUCAAUGCUAUUUCGGACUUGAGCAGAAUGAACAAGCACAACAGAGAGGAGGUUCUGCAGAAAGCCGAAAAGGAUUUAGUCGCAGUGGCAGAUCAGUUCAUGGUCUGGCUGAUUAAGGAGCUGCAAGGGACUGAUUUUUGGAUGCUACGACAAGCAUACUCGCCUGGGGUAGCUUCUACUUGUGCUGCAUUAUUAUGUGGUGUUGAUUCGCUUGAGUUGUGGUUUGGUGUUGCAGAUACAAGAGCGUGUUGAAGCUGCAACCUUCUGUAAAUUCUGCGGGAAAAUGUAGGCGAGCUGAUUAUGGAUUAAGAGUACUGCAGGUAACUGAAAGUGAUGAAUGCUUUGGAUUUUGACUAAAGUAUAUACGUUGCUGCCCAGCUUGCAAAUUUAACUGGAGAGAUGAUGCUGGAGGCAAUUGUGCUGGUGAAGUUGAUGUUGCUGAGAAGACAUGCAAGUUUGUGCUUGAAAUUUACAGGGAACUGACUCCGGUUUGUCCCCUUUAUGGAUGAUAUAUAGUAAUGAAUAUAAUGUCUAUAAUGUUAAGAUAUAAACACAACUGUUCUUUGAUCAGUAGGGGACUAUACAUCUGACGUUCUGACCAAACCUUCAAAGCCAAAACCAAACCCAUAAACGUGGUUGCCUACUAUAUAAUGGAAGCCGUCCCAUGCUUGUUAGCAGGCAAUAUAUUGAGGUUUAAUAUUAACAGCUUUUCUAUGUUAAGAUUUUAUCGAGAUUUUCUUACGCAUCUUUCGAUACUAAUUGAGGUUUAAUAUUACAGUCGAACUUUUCUAUGUUAAGAUUUUAUCAAGAUUUUCUUACGCAUCUUUCGAUACUGAUUGAGGUUUAAUAUUACAGUCGAGCUUUUCUAUAUUAAGAUUCAUCAAGAUUUUCUUACGCAUCUUCCGAUAUUAAAAUGUCGUAGGUAAAGAAAACUGUCUCUUUGAUCAAUAGGCUGGGGAUAUAUACAUCUGUGCUAGCUCGUUUAGUAGGCAAUCAAAAUCUGAUCGUUUCGUGACUACCAGAAGGGUAUCAUGUCACUAACUCAGCCUCCUCCAGCUCUUCCCCAAUACUUGCAAGAAAAUGAGAUCAGCCAAGAAACCAGAGACAUGAUAUCUACUCUACCUAGAGAUCAAGGUUGGGUUGUAAGUCAUCUCUAUCAGUACCAAGGCUUUUGGCACUCAACUAGGCAGAUAGAAGGAGUCUUGGCGUGCCAAGAAAACUUCCGAGCUCAAGAUUCUGAUAUCUUACUUGUUACUACUCCCAAAUCAGGUACCACUUGGCUUAAGGCAAUCUUGUUUUCCCUUGUGAAACGAGGAGAGUAUUAUCAUCCAGACCCUAAAGACCACCCCUUCCUCACGAAAAACCCUCAUGUUCUUGUGCCCUUCUUGGAGCUUGGUCUGUACCUUCAGAAACCGGUACCUGACCUCGCCUCCUAUGCCCCUCCUCGGCUCUUUUCAACUCACUUACCACUUGUGUCUCUACCGGAAUCAGUCAAAGACUCUGCUUGCAAGGUUGUCUAUCUGUGUAGGAACCCUAAGGACACAUUUGUUUCACUCUGGCACUUCGCAAACAGAUUGAGACCCGAGAGUCGGGGAAGCAUUUCACUUGAAGAAGCUUUAGAAUUGUUCUGCAGGGGAGUGAGUUUGUAUGGACCCUUCUGGGAUCAUGUUUUGGGGUACUGGAAUGAGAGCUUGAAAAGGCCUCAAAGUGUAUUUUUCAUCAAAUAUGAGGAAAUGAAAGAAGAAGAAGAAGCCGGUUCUCACUUGAGGAAGCUAGCUGAGUUCUUGGGGUGCCCAUUUUCUCCAGAAGAAGAGGCACAAGGGGUGGUGGGCAACAUCCUGAAGCAUUGUAGUUUUGAGACUUUGAGCAAUUUGGAUGUGAACAAAAGAGGGAAGUUAUCAUCCGGCGAGGAGCAUAGUGCUUUCUUUCGGCGAGGGGAGGCUGGAGAUUGGAGGAAUCAGUUGACUGCUGAGAUGGCGGAACAGAUAGACCGUAUCACUGAAGAGAAGUUGCAAGGUUCUGGAUUGAAAUUUUAAGUGUGCAUGUGUUUUUUUACUUCUUUGUUGUUCGUGUUUGUGUGUGGACUUUGACCUUGGUUAAUUGGUUCUAAUGUCAGUAUCUUCAAUCUCAUGAAAUAAAAUGUAUGAAUUUGACCUUGGUUAGUUCCAACGUCAAUAUUUGAAUCUUGUGAAAUAAAAGUAUUGCCAAUUUGCUGUCCAAUAUUACUGUAUCAAAGACACGAAUGAAAUUUAUAAACAGAUGAAUGCCAAUAGGUACAUGCAUCUGGCUUCAGCAUGCUAACUGUUAGACUGUACUACAUUUCGGAUUUAUCUACUGACAUAUUAGCUAGCUUCUCUUCCUGAUCGAUCAGAUUGUAUAGUGAAAAAACUAGAAUGUUUCUAGCAGGGAAAUAGUCUGAUAGGGCUUGAAAGUUUGCAGAAGAUUUGGGAAGGGGAGACAGAUGAUGCACCUCUAUGGAUUCCAGAGAGUUUCAGUAGGGGACUUAUACAUCUGACAUUCUGACCAAACCUUCAAAGCCAAAGCCAAAGCCAUAUACGUGGUACCUACUAUAGAAUGGAAGACGGCCGUCCAUGCUCGUCAGCAGGCAAUAUAUUAAGGUUCAAUAUUAAAGUCAAGCUUUUCUAUAUCAAGAGUUUAUCGAGACUGCAUCUUCGGAUAUUAAAAUGCGUAGAUAAAGAAAACUGAUCUUUGAUCAAUAGGCUGGGGAGAUAUACAUCUGACCAAACCUUCAAUGUUCUAAGCCAAAGCAACUCCAUAUAACGGAAGCAAAUUGGUGCUAGCUCGUUUAGUAGGGAAUUAAAAUCUGAUCGUUUCGCUACUACCAGAAGGGUAUCAUGUCACAGACUCAGCCUCCCCCAGCUCUUCCCCAAUACUUGCAAGAAAAUGAUCUCAGCCAAGAAACCAGAGACAUGAUAUCCACUCUGCCUAGAGAUCAAGGUUGGAUUUCAAAUCAUGUCUAUCAGUACCAAGGUUUUUGGCUCACAACUAUUCAGAUAGAAGGAGUCUUGUCGUUCCAAGAAAACUUCCGAGCCCAAGAUUCUGAUAUCUUACUUGUUGCUACUCCCAAAUCAGGCACCACUUGGCUCAAGGCAAUCUUGUUUUCCCUAGAGAAUAAACGAGGAGAGUAUUAUCAUCCAGAGCCUCAAGACCACCCCUUGCUCACAAAAAACCCUCAUGUUCUUGUUCCCUAUUUGGAGAUUGGUUUGUACCUUCGGAAACCGGUACCUGACCUCAUGACCUCCUAUGCCCCUCCUCGGCUCUUUUCAAGUCACUUACCACUUGUGUCUCUGCCGGAAUCAGUCAAAGACUCUGCUUGCAAGGUUGUCUAUCUGUGUAGGAACCCUAAGGACACAGUUGUUUCACUCUGGCACUUCGC